AUUGAACGCUGGCGGCAUGCCUUACACAUGCAAGUCGAACGGCAGCACGGGGCAACCUGGUGGCGAGUGGCGAACGGGUGAAUAAUGCAUCGGAACGUACCUUUCAGUGGGGGAUAACGUAGCGAAAGUUACGCUAAUACCGCAUAUUCUGUGAGCAGGAAAGCAGGGGAUCGCAAGACCUUGCGCUGAUUGAGCGGCCGAUGUCAGAUUAGCUAGUUGGUGAGGUAAAGACUCACCAAGGCGACGAUCUGUAGCGGGUCUGAGAGGAUGAUCCGCCACACUGGAACUGAGACACGGUCCAGACUCCUACGGGAGGCAGCAGUGGGGAAUUUUGGACAAUGGGGGCAACCCUGAUCCAGCCAUGCCGCGUGAGUGAAGAAGGCCUUCGGGUUGUAAAGCUCUUUCGGCCGGGAAGAAAUCGCACGGGCUAAUACCCUGUGUGGAUGACGGUACCGGAAUAAGAAGCACCGGCUAACUACGUGCCAGCAGCCGCGGUAA
RNAcentral lists this ribosomal RNA (498 nucleotides) under uncultured bacterium. RNAcentral's name for it is "partial 16S ribosomal RNA". It matches the Rfam family "Bacterial small subunit ribosomal RNA", at positions 30 to 523 of the family's 1533-position model. The record is from RNAcentral.